RNAcentral lists this unclassified non-coding RNA (20 nucleotides) under Mus musculus (house mouse). RNAcentral's name for it is "oocyte_clustered_small_RNA8462". The record is from RNAcentral. Lineage: Eukaryota; Metazoa; Chordata; Mammalia; Rodentia; Muridae.
UUGCAGGUGGGCCCAGGCCA